This 492-nucleotide ribosomal RNA is filed under the name uncultured bacterium. RNAcentral describes it as "partial 16S ribosomal RNA". It matches the Rfam family "Bacterial small subunit ribosomal RNA", at positions 28 to 507 of the family's 1533-position model. The record is from RNAcentral.
GAUGAACGCUAGCUACAGGCUUAACACAUGCAAGUCGAGGGGAAACGACAUCGAAAGCUUGCUUUUGAUGGGCGUCGACCGGCGCACGGGUGAGUAACGCGUAUCCAACCUGCCCAUCACUUGGGAAUAACCUUGCGAAAGUAAGACUAAUACCCAAUGAUAUCCCACGAAGGCAUCGGAAUGGGAUUAAAGAUUUAUCGGUGAUGGAUGGGGAUGCGUCUGAUUAGCUUGUUGGCGGGGUAACGGCCCACCAAGGCAACGAUCAGUAGGGGUUCUGAGAGGAAGGGCCCCCACAUUGGAACUGAGACACGGUCCAAACUCCUACGGGAGGCAGCAGUGAGGAAUAUUGGUCAAUGGGCGAGAGCCCGAACCAGCCAAGUAGCGUGCAGGAAGACGGCCCUAUGGGUUGUAAACUGCUUUUAUAAGGGAAUAAAGUGGGUCACGUGUGACUUUUUGCAUGUACCUUAUGAAUAAGGACCGGCUAAUUCCGUG